Pangasius djambal is the source of this 72-nucleotide non-coding RNA. NCBI's taxonomy places the organism in Eukaryota, Metazoa, Chordata, Actinopteri, Siluriformes, Pangasiidae. The record is from the annotation of a GenBank genome assembly.
UGUAGGGUCCCUAGAGGACUAGUGGUUAGCGCUCUCACCGCUGCGGCCCGGGUUCAAUUCCUGGCCAGGGAA